RNAcentral lists this ribosomal RNA (1557 nucleotides) under Staphylococcus aureus. Its description in RNAcentral is "16S ribosomal RNA". It matches the Rfam family "Bacterial small subunit ribosomal RNA". The record is from RNAcentral. Lineage: Bacteria; Bacillati; Bacillota; Bacilli; Caryophanales; Staphylococcaceae.
UUUUAUGGAGAGUUUGAUCCUGGCUCAGGAUGAACGCUGGCGGCGUGCCUAAUACAUGCAAGUCGAGCGAACGGACGAGAAGCUUGCUUCUCUGAUGUUAGCGGCGGACGGGUGAGUAACACGUGGAUAACCUACCUAUAAGACUGGGAUAACUUCGGGAAACCGGAGCUAAUACCGGAUAAUAUUUUGAACCGCAUGGUUCAAAAGUGAAAGACGGUCUUGCUGUCACUUAUAGAUGGAUCCGCGCUGCAUUAGCUAGUUGGUAAGGUAACGGCUUACCAAGGCAACGAUGCAUAGCCGACCUGAGAGGGUGAUCGGCCACACUGGAACUGAGACACGGUCCAGACUCCUACGGGAGGCAGCAGUAGGGAAUCUUCCGCAAUGGGCGAAAGCCUGACGGAGCAACGCCGCGUGAGUGAUGAAGGUCUUCGGAUCGUAAAACUCUGUUAUUAGGGAAGAACAUAUGUGUAAGUAACUGUGCACAUCUUGACGGUACCUAAUCAGAAAGCCACGGCUAACUACGUGCCAGCAGCCGCGGUAAUACGUAGGUGGCAAGCGUUAUCCGGAAUUAUUGGGCGUAAAGCGCGCGUAGGCGGUUUUUUAAGUCUGAUGUGAAAGCCCACGGCUCAACCGUGGAGGGUCAUUGGAAACUGGAAAACUUGAGUGCAGAAGAGGAAAGUGGAAUUCCAUGUGUAGCGGUGAAAUGCGCAGAGAUAUGGAGGAACACCAGUGGCGAAGGCGACUUUCUGGUCUGUAACUGACGCUGAUGUGCGAAAGCGUGGGGAUCAAACAGGAUUAGAUACCCUGGUAGUCCACGCCGUAAACGAUGAGUGCUAAGUGUUAGGGGGUUUCCGCCCCUUAGUGCUGCAGCUAACGCAUUAAGCACUCCGCCUGGGGAGUACGACCGCAAGGUUGAAACUCAAAGGAAUUGACGGGGACCCGCACAAGCGGUGGAGCAUGUGGUUUAAUUCGAAGCAACGCGAAGAACCUUACCAAAUCUUGACAUCCUUUGACAACUCUAGAGAUAGAGCUUUCCCCUUCGGGGGACAAAGUGACAGGUGGUGCAUGGUUGUCGUCAGCUCGUGUCGUGAGAUGUUGGGUUAAGUCCCGCAACGAGCGCAACCCUUAAGCUUAGUUGCCAUCAUUAAGUUGGGCACUCUAAGUUGACUGCCGGUGACAAACCGGAGGAAGGUGGGGAUGACGUCAAAUCAUCAUGCCCCUUAUGAUUUGGGCUACACACGUGCUACAAUGGACAAUACAAAGGGCAGCGAAACCGCGAGGUCAAGCAAAUCCCAUAAAGUUGUUCUCAGUUCGGAUUGUAGUCUGCAACUCGACUACAUGAAGCUGGAAUCGCUAGUAAUCGUAGAUCAGCAUGCUACGGUGAAUACGUUCCCGGGUCUUGUACACACCGCCCGUCACACCACGAGAGUUUGUAACACCCGAAGCCGGUGGAGUAACCUUUUAGGAGCUAGCCGUCGAAGGUGGGACAAAUGAAUGGGGUGAAGUCGUAACAAGGUAGCCGUAUCGGAAGGUGCGGCUGGAUCACCUCCUUUCUAA